Molecule: ribosomal RNA, 445 nt
Filed under: uncultured bacterium
Lineage: Bacteria
Description: bacterial SSU rRNA
Rfam family: Bacterial small subunit ribosomal RNA
Source: RNAcentral
CCCCCCCUUAAAAGCGGCGGACUGGUGAGUACGCGUGGGUGACCUACCUUGAGGAUGGGGAUAGCUGUUAGAAAUAGCAGGUAAUACCGAAUAUGGUUGAAGGGCUAUGAGCUCUUCAAAGAAAGUGGGCUCCGUGCCCCGCCUUAUGAUGUGGCCCGCGUUCCCAUUAGCUAGUUGGUGAGGUAAAAUGCCGCACCAAGGGCUCUGAUGGUGUAGCCGGCCUGAGAAAGGUGAACGGCACAUUGUUGACUGAGAUACUGGGCCAAACUCCUACGUGGAGGCAGCAGCUAAGAAUAUUCCGCAAUGGACGACAGUCUAACGGAGCGACGCCGCGUGGAAUCGAUGUGAAGGCCGAACAGGUUGUACAAAUCCUUAUUAUUGCUGCAGAACUAAGCGCGGCUACGGGAAUUGACCGCGUGAUGACGUAUAGGGCAAUGAAUAAACA